AGAACAUUCCCAACUACUGGACAUUUUUAUAUCUACUCUUUGAGUGUUUCGCAGCUCUCGCGGGUCUUUGCGCGUUUUUAGGUUUCCGUCAUGUCAUCAAUUCUGCAUGAUGUGCACGACUCCGGCGCUGUGCCCGUGCGGACUUCAGCUUUCGCUUCAGACCGAAUCCGGCCCGGUUGCAGUUCCAGUUUCAAGAACCUCAGCUGAAAACACAAAUUCGAAUUGCUGCAGCCUAACUGAAGGCCCCGUCUCUGGUGACCUGAGCUCAUGGUUGGCAGUCCGUUUUCUAUCAGCGAAAUACUAUCCCAAAGAAUCAAAGCAAAACCAGCUGACUUCGUCAAAAGUCGGAGCCAAGGAUCUGGAAACCACAUUGUUUUUCUGCUUUCAUUGACUGGACAAUGGCACUAGCUCAUUUUUUUUUUUCUCCUUUCUGGAGAUUGAUGCCACUUGGGCUAUGGCAGAUUUUCAAUAUUUGUUCCAGGAUGUGGCACUUCCUGGCCACAUCUUCCUCCUCCUCCCCAGGAUUGUCUAGUGAUGGAUGCCUCACCUCUUCUAAUAACUACAUCAGCAGAUCGUCCUCCAGACCUUUCCCAGCAAACCCUCUGUCUAGCAUACAAGUUCUACCCUGUCUGCACACAUCAAUGGCUCUUUUGUCUUCUGGGUUUUUUUUUCUUAAUUCAGCCAAGGACUCUAGCACUCUUCAAAGGUCAAAUGUGAAGAUCUGCUGUCUUACUCAGACAGAAAGUCUAACCAAGUGCCUAUGCUUCCCUUUUCUAUAUCAAAGCAAAAGACCCCCCAAUUUUGAGUAGGGGGGGUCAUUGUUUUAUUGUCUUGGCUCAACCCCUAAAAUGUUUGACCACCUUUGGACUUUUUCCUGAGUUUCCUUUCUGAGACUCAGGUACUCCUUGUCCAGUCUUUCCAUUUUAUUUUCUUACAAGCUAAGCUAAACUACACCGGUUAGAAACACCUUCUGGGACUUAGUUUAGUGUGUCUCCUCUCUCCUGAGGAUUGUGCAUCUCUCUCCCUGCGACUGUAUUACAAUUCUAUUGAGACAUAUAUAAUUAACAAAUGAAAAUAUGUCUAUUUUAAAUACAAAAUGUGAUGCUGUGA
Long non-coding RNA from Myodes glareolus (Bank vole), 1110 nucleotides. RefSeq lists it as uncharacterized. The record is from RefSeq and is a predicted model, not a curated record. Lineage: Eukaryota; Metazoa; Chordata; Mammalia; Rodentia; Cricetidae.